UGAGGUUCCCGCUUGAAUUCCUUGUCUA
RNAcentral lists this non-coding RNA (28 nucleotides) under Mus musculus (house mouse). Lineage: Eukaryota; Metazoa; Chordata; Mammalia; Rodentia; Muridae. The record is from RNAcentral.